This 713-nucleotide ribosomal RNA is filed under the name Paenibacillus rigui. Its description in RNAcentral is "bacterial SSU rRNA". It matches the Rfam family "Bacterial small subunit ribosomal RNA", at positions 18 to 721 of the family's 1533-position model. The record is from RNAcentral. Lineage: Bacteria; Bacillati; Bacillota; Bacilli; Caryophanales; Paenibacillaceae.
CCUGGCUCAGGACGAACGCUGGCGGCGUGCCUAAUACAUGCAAGUCGAGCGGAUUGUUCCUUCGGGAACAGUUAGCGGCGGACGGGUGAGUAACACGUAGGCAACCUGCCUGUAAGACUGGGAUAACUAUCGGAAACGAUAGCUAAGACCGGAUAGCUGGUUUUCUCGCAUGAGAAGAUCAUGAAACACGGAGCAAUCUGUGGCUUAUAGAUGGGCCUGCGGCGCAUUAGCUAGUUGGUGAGGUAAUGGCUCACCAAGGCGACGAUGCGUAGCCGACCUGAGAGGGUGAUCGGCCACACUGGGACUGAGACACGGCCCAGACUCCUACGGGAGGCAGCAGUAGGGAAUCUUCCGCAAUGGACGCAAGUCUGACGGAGCAACGCCGCGUGAGUGAUGAAGGUUUUCGGAUCGUAAAGCUCUGUUGCCAGGGAAGAACACCUAGGAGAGUAACUGCUCUUAGGUUGACGGUACCUGAGAAGAAAGCCCCGGCUAACUACGUGCCAGCAGCCGCGGUAAUACGUAGGGGGCAAGCGUUGUCCGGAAUUAUUGGGCGUAAAGCGCGCGCAGGCGGUCAUUUAAGUUUGGUGUUUAAGCCCGGGGCUCAACCCCGGAUCGCACUGAAAACUGGGUGACUUGAGUGCGGGAGAGGAAAGUGGAAUUCCACGUGUAGCGGUGAAAUGCGUAGAGAUGUGGAGGAACACCAGUGGCGAAGG